This 453-nucleotide ribosomal RNA is filed under the name uncultured bacterium. Its description in RNAcentral is "bacterial SSU rRNA". It matches the Rfam family "Bacterial small subunit ribosomal RNA", at positions 32 to 507 of the family's 1533-position model. The record is from RNAcentral.
AAUCAACGCUGGCGGCGUGCCUAACACAUGCAAGUCGAACGAGAACGGUUCCUUCGGGGACUUAGUAAAGUGGCGAACGGGUGAGUAACGCGUGGAUAAUCUGCCCUCAAGUGGGGGAUAACUCGGGAAACCCGGGCUAAUACCGCAUAAGCCCUACGGGGGAAAAGUAUUUAUAUUGCUUGAGGAGGAGUCCGCGUCCGAUUAGCUGGUUGGUGAGGUAAGAGCUCACCAAGGCGACGAUUGGUAGCCGGUCUGAGAGGACGGACGGCCACACUGGAACUGAGACACGGUCCAGACUCCUACGGGAGGCAGCAGUGGGGAAUUUUGGGCAAUGGGGGAAACCCUGACCCAGCAACGCCGCGUGGAGGAAGAAGGUUUUCGGAUCGUAAACUCCUGUCCGGAGGGACGAAGCAAGUGACGGUACCUCUGGAGGAAGCCCCGGCUAACUCCGUG